AUUUGUGCCUGAAAGUUAAGGUAC
RNAcentral lists this transfer RNA (24 nucleotides) under Leptobrachium boringii (Emei moustache toad). RNAcentral's name for it is "partial tRNA-Ile". The record is from RNAcentral. Lineage: Eukaryota; Metazoa; Chordata; Amphibia; Anura; Megophryidae.